AUACGGAGGGGACAAGCGUUAUUCGGAAUCACUGGGCGUAAAGGACGCGUAGGCGGGUUAUUAAGUCGGGUGUGAAAUCCAAUGGCUCAACCAUUGAACUGCAUUCGAAACUGAUAACCUAGAGUAUGGAAGGGGCAGGUGGAAUUAGUGGUGUAGGGGUAAAAUCCGUAGAUACCACUAGGAAUACCGAAAGCGAAGGCGACCUGCUGGGACAUUACUGACGCUGAGGCGUGAAAGCGUGGGGAGCAAACAGGAUUAGAAACCCCAGUAGUCC
RNAcentral lists this ribosomal RNA (274 nucleotides) under uncultured bacterium. RNAcentral's name for it is "partial 16S ribosomal RNA". It matches the Rfam family "Bacterial small subunit ribosomal RNA", at positions 523 to 796 of the family's 1533-position model. The record is from RNAcentral.